CUCAGGAGAAAAUCCAGAUCUACGCGUGACACACAGACUCCCGCCCACACACACAUACACACGCACACACACACAGACACACUAACAUUUGGUUCUAAACAAAGACACACACUAAGAGUUAGACACAUUAAUAUUUAGAUGUACACACAGACACACUAACAUUUAGAUGUACACACAGACACACUAACAUUUGGUUCUAAACAAUGACACACACUAAUAUUUAGAUGUACACAAAGACACAAUAACAAUUAGAUAUACACACAAACACAAUAUCAUUUGGUUCUAAACAAAGACACACACUAAUAUUUAGAUGUACACAAAGACACACACUAAUAUUUAGAUGUACACAAAGACAUAUUAAUAUUUGGAUGUACACACAGACACACUAACAUUUGAUGCUAAACAAAGACACAUUAAUAUUUAGAUGUACACACACACUAACAAUUAGAUGUACACACAGACACACUAUCAUUUAGUUCCAAACAAUGACACACACUAAUAUUUAGAUGUACACAAAGACACAAUAACAAUUAGAUAUACAAACAGAAACACUAACAAUUAGAUCUACACACAGACGCACUAACAAUUAGAUGUACACACGGACACACUAACAAUUAGAUCUACACACAGACGCACUAACAAUUAGAUGUACACACUGACACACUAACAAUUAGAUCUACACACAGACACACUAACAAUUAGAUGUACACACAGACACAUCCUGAUGAUCCUCCUCACAUCUCUUCUCCUUGUCUGCAGACCAAUAGGACCCCAUCAGGACGCCACGUCAUCGGGACGCUACGUCAUUGGGACGCCAUCAGGACGCCACGUCAUCGGGACGCCAUCAGGACGCCACGUCAUCGGGACGCCAUCAGGAUUCCAUCAGGACGCCAUCAGAACGCCGCGUCAACCCCUCAGGAGCAAAUCCAGAUCUAAUCAUGACACACACACACACACACACACACACAGAUGUACUCAGAGACACACUAACAUUUAGACACGCUGGCAAAUUUAGAUGUACAAUUAGAUGUACACACAGACACACUAACAUUUGGUUCUAAACAAAGACACACACUAACAUUUAGAUACACUAACAAUUAGAUGUACACACAGACACAUCCUGAUGAUCCUCCUCACGUCUCUUCUCCUUGUCUGCAGACCAACAGGACGCCAUCAGGAUGCCACGUCAUCGGGGACGCCACGUCAUCGGGACGCCAUCAGGACUCCGCGUCAACCCCCUCAGGAGCAAAUCCAGAUCUAAUCAUGAAACACACACACACACACACACACAGAUGUACUCAGAGACACACUAACAUUUAGACACGCUGGCAAUUUAGAUGUACAAUUAGAUGUACACACAGACACACUAAUUAUUUGGUUCUAAACAAUGACACACACUAAUAUUUAGAUGUACACAAAGACACAAUAACAAUUAGAUAUACACACAGACACACUAACAUUUAGAUGUACACACAGACACACUAACAUUUGGUUCUAAACAAAGACACACUAAUAUUUAGAUGUGCACAAAGACAUAUUAAUAUUUAGAUGUACACACAGACACACUAACAUUUAGAUGUACACACAGACACACUAACAAUUAGAUGUAAACACAGACACACUAACAACAUUAACAUGUUAAUAACUUUUCUUCUUUUCUCUCUUCUCAGGAACUGCUUCAGAUGUUUUCCCAAUGAUUGUGUUAUUAUUAUUGUUAAAUAUGUCGUCUGUUUAUUAUUUUAACAAUGAAAAUACAUUUUAAUAAAAAUAAAACCAAAUGAAUCCAUCUUGUUUUCUUCAGACCAAAGAGAAUCACAUGUUCUUUAUUAUUCGUUGACUUGAAUGAAGUGAAACAACAAUGAUCUUG
Molecule: long non-coding RNA, 1867 nt
Organism: Gasterosteus aculeatus aculeatus (three-spined stickleback)
Lineage: Eukaryota; Metazoa; Chordata; Actinopteri; Perciformes; Gasterosteidae
Source: Ensembl